AAAAACUCAUCACUAAAUAAAAUAACAACAUUAAUUAAAUAAUGUUUUUCUUUAGUGAAAAUCCAACCCUCAAACAAUAAAUAGAUAUGAAUUUUGAACACUGACUAUAUCUGCACAAAGCCGUCAGCAUAUAAAUUGAAGCUAUUGAGAAAUAGCCUUAUGCAACUGAGAAGUCAAAAUAGUUCUGCAGCAAUGGAGCAUUGGAGCUGUGUUAGCAGAAUACUUGCUCCAGUCUAUUCAGCCUUGUCGAGAAAGACAAGCUAACCUGAACAGGGGAACACUCUUAUCUCCAUCUCAUCAUGUCAGAAGGUAUAUUAGAAUAGACCAGUGGGACCAGAUCAAAGUACAUGUGGAGUGCAAAGUCUUUCUCUCAAAGUGGUGAUUGAAUCUCAUUUUCCAGUGGUGCUAUGGGAAGAGAAAACAGCCCUCCUGCCCUGGUAUACUGCCCUAACAACACAAGCAGAUUCUCAGCCACAGCUGCAUCUGAACUUCUUACUCAGUGGCCAUUGGUGAAGGUGUCUCCAUGAAUUUGCUGAAUCCUGGUUUUAAUCUAAUUAUAUUUUUUAAGCCCAGUUAUAUUUCUAAAUCUACAACAUCUUGUGGAAAUGAGAUCUACAGCUUCUACUAAAUGAGCACUUCAGCCCAGAGAUGCCCAAACAGCUUGCACUACUGCUUCCUUGCCACAUCUGAGCCCAGGAGACAGGGAACAAAGGAUAAGGAGGAGAGCAGUCCAGAUUCAGGAUUCCCUUCACCCACUAGUCCUCGUAUUGAACACUAGGUAAGGAUGUACACCUUGUGUUUUUCUUUUCCUAUGCUCUCAGUGUUAGCAGUAUGAAAUGAUAGGAGGGCUGCAGAGCAGGGCCAGGCACUCAUUUCUCCCAGAAAACACCUACUUUGAUAAUUUGUCAUCACGUGGAGCUACCUCCUGCCUCUGUCUUCUGCCCAGCCAUGGGGAGAUAAAGAAACAGCUCUGAUUUUAGCAAUAAUAUUAUCUCUGACCCCCUGCUUACAUAAAGCUGUUGCUUUCUGUAAUAAUUCUAGUGUGAGAACUUAGAAAUAAGCACAGGUGGCAAAUGGUGAUGGAGCCCUAUCUCAGGCCCAUCUGGUGGCCACUGCCUUUGACCUUGACUUUGUUCCCAUCACUGACAAACAUUUAGGUAUCUCUUUGAAUGAAUAGGAUUGAGGUAAAAUUACUUUCCUCCCUUUUCCCCUCUGCCCUGACAUUUUAUAUGUGUGUGUGUGUACACAGUUGCAUAUAUAUGAUACUCUUUAUAAAAGAAAACGCAGCAGUGAUUGUUAAGAAGUAGUAAUUAUUCCCUGCUUCAUGUUUUGCUGAAUUCCUAUAUCACUCUGAAGGACAUUUAAUUAUCUUAGUAUAUAUCCAGAAAGAACUUUUACAUUCUUUCCACAUAGUGAACAAAACUUAUUUUUAAAAUAAAAAACUUAUUUUAAAAAUGUAAAGGGUAUUA
Molecule: long non-coding RNA, 1469 nt
Filed under: Anas platyrhynchos platyrhynchos (common mallard)
Lineage: Eukaryota; Metazoa; Chordata; Aves; Anseriformes; Anatidae
Description: lncRNA (ENSAPLG00000029191.1)
Source: RNAcentral